CAGGUUUUGACUUCUCAUAAGCCACACCAAACAGGCCGUCAGUAAUAAGAGCUAAAAGCUAAAGAACAAAAAUAGGAGCCGAUGUGGAAAAAGGAAAGAGAACUGGAUAAAAGACCACCAAUUCAUGUAAACGCACAAUAGAAAUUGUUCCCCAAUUAGAAAUCUCUCCCAUAAUAAUUCAAACAUUCAUUCUCCAAUCUAAAUAAACAAAACAACCUACACUUAACGCAUAAAAAUCUGCAGGCUGCGGCCAUGUAUUACCAUUAAAGAAUUCACCGGCGGUGGUAUUUGUAGAGAUCCUUAGUAAUGAUUCAUCGGUAGCGGGAACCAAAUGUCCUUGAAUUGCUUUAAUCCGUCGCUCAGCCCUUGAUUCCAUUCAGAUUUUUCUUCUUUUUCUAAUCUGUUUCUGAAUUCAACAGAGUAAUCGAAUUUCUACUUGCAUUACAAUUUACAGAUGCAGAGAAGAAGCAAACAUGUAUUGAAAAUAACAUAAAUAUAUAAGAAAAAAUAUCAUCCAAUGAAACCAAAAAGAGAAAUGGAUUUUGGCACACCUUACAACGUCGUGACGAUAAUAUAGUCAGAGAUGGCCGAGAAUUGGAGGAGGAUGAGGAUGGUAUUUCUAAACUUUUCUUCAACUUUUUAACAAGUGUGACUUUGGGGUCCUCAAC
Molecule: long non-coding RNA, 668 nt
Filed under: Olea europaea (common olive)
Lineage: Eukaryota; Viridiplantae; Streptophyta; Magnoliopsida; Lamiales; Oleaceae
Description: long non-coding RNA (OEUR_LNC011321)
Source: RNAcentral